UUAUCAGUGAGGUUAAUCUUUUUUGUUUUUCUUUUGGGAGAAAUGGAAAAUGAUGAUUUGGGAUAAUGAGGUUGUGAUUACAUUACUCUGGUUUGUGGAGUACAGCAACCUCUACACUAACCAUAUCUGAU
This is a small nucleolar RNA of Protopterus annectens (West African lungfish), 131 nucleotides long. RefSeq annotates it as U8 small nucleolar RNA. Lineage: Eukaryota; Metazoa; Chordata; Ceratodontiformes; Protopteridae. The record is from RefSeq and is a predicted model, not a curated record. The transcript has a single exon.